GAUGAACGCUGGGGGCGUGCCUAAUACAUGCAAGUCGAGCGAACAGACUAGGAGCUUGCUCCUCUGACGUUAGCGGCGGACGGGUGAGUAACACGUGGAUAACCUACCUAUAAGACUGGGAUAACUUCGGGAAACCGGAGCUAAUACCGUAUAACAUGUUGAACCGCAUGGUUCAACAGUGAAAGACGGUCUUGCUGUCACUUAUAGAUGUAUCCGCGCCGCAUUAGCUAGUUGGUAAGGUAACGGCUUACCAAGGCAACGAUGCGUAGCCGACCUGAGAGGGUGAUCGGCCACACUGGAACUGAGACACGGUCCAGACUCCUACGGGAGGCAGCAGUAGGGAAUCUUCCGCAAUGGGCGAAAGACUGACGGAGCAACGCCGCGUGAGUGAAGAAGGUCUUCGGAUCGUAAAACUCUGUUAUUAGGGAAGAACAAAUGUGUAAGUAACUAUGCACGUCUUGACGGUACCUAAUCAGAAAGCCACGGCUAACUACGUG
This 497-nucleotide ribosomal RNA is filed under the name uncultured bacterium. Its description in RNAcentral is "partial 16S ribosomal RNA". It matches the Rfam family "Bacterial small subunit ribosomal RNA", at positions 28 to 507 of the family's 1533-position model. The record is from RNAcentral.